This 484-nucleotide ribosomal RNA is filed under the name uncultured bacterium. Its description in RNAcentral is "partial 16S ribosomal RNA". It matches the Rfam family "Bacterial small subunit ribosomal RNA", at positions 30 to 507 of the family's 1533-position model. The record is from RNAcentral.
AUUGAACGCUGGCGGCAGGCCUAACACAUGCAAGUCGAGCGGAUGAAGGGAGCUUGCUCCUGGAUUCAGCGGCGGACGGGUGAGUAAUGCCUAGGAAUCUGCCUGGUAGUGGGGGAUAACGUCCGGAAACGGGCGCUAAUACCGCAUACGUCCUGAGGGAGAAAGGGGGGGAUCUUCGGACCUCACGCUAUCAGAUGAGCCUAGGUCGGAUUAGCUAGUUGGUGGGGUAAAGGCCUACCAAGGCGACGAUCCGUAACUGGUCUGAGAGGAUGAUCAGUCACACUGGAACUGAGACACGGUCCAGACUCCUACGGGAGGCAGCAGUGGGGAAUAUUGGACCAUGGGCGAAAGCCUGAUCCAGCCAUGCCGCGUGUGUGAAGAAGGUCUUCGGAUUGUAAAGCACUUUAAGUUGGGAGGAAGGGCAGUAAGUUAAUACCUUGCUGUUUUGACGUUACCAACAGAAUAAGCACCGGCUAACUUCGUG